GUUAGCGUGGCAGAGCCCGGUUAUGCAAAAGAUCUAAACCCUUUCAACCGGGGGUUCAAAUCCCCCCACUAACU
Molecule: transfer RNA, 74 nt
Filed under: Pelophylax cretensis (Greek marsh frog)
Lineage: Eukaryota; Metazoa; Chordata; Amphibia; Anura; Ranidae
Description: tRNA-Leu
Rfam family: tRNA
About the family: Transfer RNA (tRNA) molecules are approximately 80 nucleotides in length. Their secondary structure includes four short double-helical elements and three loops (D, anti-codon, and T loops).
Source: RNAcentral